CCUACGGGUGGCAGCAGUGAGGAAUAUUGGUCAAUGGACGAGAGUCUGAACCAGCCAAGUAGCGUGAAGGAUGACUGCCCUAUGGGUUGUAAACUUCUUUUAUAUGGGAAUAAAACGUUCCACGUGUGGGAUUUUGUAUGUACCAUAUGAAUAAGGAUCGGCUAACUACGUGCCAGCAGCCGCGGUAAUACGGAGGAUCCGAGCGUUAUCCGGAUUUAUUGGGUUUAAAGGGAGCGUAGGUGGAUUGUUAAGUCAGUUGUGAAAGUUUGCGGCUCAACCGUAAAAUUGCAGUUGAAACUGGCAGUCUUGAGUACAGUAGAGGUGGGCGGAAUUCGUGGUGUAGCGGUGAAAUGCUUAGAUAUUACGAAGAACUCCGAUUGCGAAGGCAGUUCACUGGACUGCAACUGACACUGAGGCUCGAAAGUGUGGGUAUCAAACAGGAUUAGAUACCCGUGUAGUC
Molecule: ribosomal RNA, 460 nt
Filed under: uncultured bacterium
Lineage: Bacteria
Description: partial 16S ribosomal RNA
Rfam family: Bacterial small subunit ribosomal RNA
Source: RNAcentral